This is a non-coding RNA of Triticum aestivum (bread wheat), 124 nucleotides long. NCBI's taxonomy places the organism in Eukaryota, Viridiplantae, Streptophyta, Magnoliopsida, Poales, Poaceae. The record is from Rfam.
CAAGUACUCCCUCCGUCCGAAAAUACUUGUCCGAGAGAUAGAUGUAUUUAGAUGUAUUUUAGUUUUAGAUACAUCUUUUUUAUCCAUUUCGAAGACAAGUAUUUCCGGACCGAGGUAGUAGGUG